RNAcentral lists this long non-coding RNA (1131 nucleotides) under Olea europaea subsp. europaea. The record is from RNAcentral. Lineage: Eukaryota; Viridiplantae; Streptophyta; Magnoliopsida; Lamiales; Oleaceae.
CAUGCAAGGUAGUUGUGGGUAGCACCAGUAUCCACCAUAGCCCUGAUUGGCUUCCCAUUGAUUUUUACAUCAAUGAACAUUAAGCCUUUGGCCCUACAAAUACGAGCCUUCGCUUCUUCCAUCUUUGCCUCUUUCAAUGGGACAUCAUCCUUUUCGACAACCCGAUGCGAUAGUGUGUUGCACCGAUGUGAAAAUGCCCCAACUACUUCCUCAUCCUCUUCAGAGUCAGUCUCAUUAUUACAAUUAGCUUGCGGGACCUCUUGUUUCGAACUUGGCCCGCCACUUGCUAAUUGACAAUAUGCAUUCACCAUCCGCUUCUGAGGACACUCCGACACCCGAUGAGGUCCUUCACAUAAAAAGCACUUCAAUUUGAGAGUGGCAUCAGUUCGGCCCUCCGUUGCUUUCCCUUUGUUCCAGUUGUUACUAUUACUGCCGUUAAAAUUUCCCUGACGGCUGUUAUGAUAAUUUCCCUGAAAGCCACGGGUGCUUUGAUAGGCUCCUUCUCUAUUUUGAGAGUAGCGCUCUCCCCCAUUUGGGUUCGAGCUGGGUCUGUAAGAUCUGUUACCACCUCCAAUUGCUUGAUUACUCCCCGAAGGUCGAUCUUUUCUAGAUUCUGUUUGGUAGUCGCUCAAGCAUUCAGCGGCUCCCAUGGCCGUGCUUAAAUCAGUAACCUUCUGUCUUUGAAGUUCCGUGCGUGUCCACGGUUUCAACCCUUCCAUAAAGGUGAAGAGCUUGUCCUUUUCUGACAUAUCUCGAAUAUUCAGCAUGUGCCCUGAGAAGGAUUUCACAUACUCCCUGAUAGAGCUCGUGUGUUUCAGGUCUCGAAGAGCCCGUCGAGCCUGAUACUCGACAUUUUCCGGGAAAAACUGCGAUCUGAUCGCUUCCUUGAGGAGAUCCCAAGAAUCAAUUCGAAUCCUGUGGGCCUGAAUGUCCGCAUAUUUGGUUCGCCACCAUAAUUUUGCAUCUCCACCCAAAUACAUGGUGGCUGUGGUUACCUUUCUAGCUUCAUCUUCGAUCGAAGCUGCUAGAAAGUACUGUUCCAUAUCAAACAAGAAGUUUUCGACUUCUUUUGCAUCACGUGCCCCUCCAUAGGUACACGGUUCAGGAAUUCUGAGUCUAGGAGCAUACUCG